Molecule: ribosomal RNA, 586 nt
Filed under: Pantoea sp. JN8(2011)
Lineage: Bacteria; Pseudomonadati; Pseudomonadota; Gammaproteobacteria; Enterobacterales; Erwiniaceae
Description: bacterial SSU rRNA
Rfam family: Bacterial small subunit ribosomal RNA
Source: RNAcentral
GUUCCCUUGAGGAGUGGCUUCCGGAGCUAACGCGUUAAGUCGACCGCCUGGGGAGUACGGCCGCAAGGUUAAAACUCAAAUGAAUUGACGGGGGCCCGCACAAGCGGUGGAGCAUGUGGUUUAAUUCGAUGCAACGCGAAGAACCUUACCUACUCUUGACAUCCACGGAAUUCGGCAGAGAUGCCUUAGUGCCUUCGGGAACCGUGAGACAGGUGCUGCAUGGCUGUCGUCAGCUCGUGUUGUGAAAUGUUGGGUUAAGUCCCGCAACGAGCGCAACCCUUAUCCUUUGUUGCCAGCGAUUCGGUCGGGAACUCAAAGGAGACUGCCGGUGAUAAACCGGAGGAAGGUGGGGAUGACGUCAAGUCAUCAUGGCCCUUACGAGUAGGGCUACACACGUGCUACAAUGGCGCAUACAAAGAGAAGCGACCUCGCGAGAGCAAGCGGACCUCAUAAAGUGCGUCGUAGUCCGGAUCGGAGUCUGCAACUCGACUCCGUGAAGUCGGAAUCGCUAGUAAUCGUGGAUCAGAAUGCCACGGUGAAUACGUUCCCGGGCCUUGUACACACCGCCCGUCACACCAUGGGAGUG